RNAcentral lists this long non-coding RNA (371 nucleotides) under Carica papaya (papaya). RNAcentral describes it as "long non-coding RNA (CPAP_LNC010845)". Lineage: Eukaryota; Viridiplantae; Streptophyta; Magnoliopsida; Brassicales; Caricaceae. The record is from RNAcentral.
ACCAGUGUCAAAUAAAACAUGAGCAAUAUGGUUACAGAUAGUGUACAUACCCUGUACCACGUCUGGGUCGGCAUCGGCAUCUUGGUGUGUGAGGUUGUAAACCCUGCCCUGAAUAGGAGGUCUUCCUUGGUUCUGGUUCCUCAGGCACUCUCUCGCAUAGUGCUGGGCACUACCACAUAUGCGACAGGUGUUGUUGAGGUGAUAGCAUGGUCGGUCCCCCUGAUCCCUGCCGCAGUGCUGACAGAUCUUGCCACGUGCUGCCCCUGGAGCCUGAGGAGGAGCCUGGAUUGCGGGUCUGGGCCUCUUAUUUUAUUGGACAGGCGCAGUAGGUGCUGGUCUACGGGGUGGAGCUGAGGGUCUGUGACUCCCUG